This 252-nucleotide ribosomal RNA is filed under the name uncultured bacterium. RNAcentral describes it as "partial 16S ribosomal RNA". It matches the Rfam family "Bacterial small subunit ribosomal RNA", at positions 524 to 776 of the family's 1533-position model. The record is from RNAcentral.
UACGAGGGGGGCGAGCGUUGUUCGGAAUUAUUGGGCGUAAAGGGUGCGUAGGCGGUUUGGUAAGUCUGAUGUGAAAUCUAUGGGCUCAACUCAUAGUCUGCAUCGGAAACUGCCGGGCUUGAGUGUGGGAGAGGUGAGUGAAUUCCUGGUGUAGCGGUGAAAUGCGUAGAUAUCAAGUGGAACACCAGUGGCGAAGGCGAGUCUCUGGACAUUUCCUGACGCUGAGGCACGAAAGCCAGGGGAGCAAACGGG